GCCAGUGUGGCAUAGUGGUUUGAGUGCUGGACUGCAACUCUAGAGACCUGGGUUCAAUCCCCAGCUUGGCCA
RNAcentral lists this transfer RNA (72 nucleotides) under Phrynosoma platyrhinos (Desert horned lizard). Its description in RNAcentral is "tRNA-OTHER". It matches the Rfam family "tRNA". From Rfam's summary of the family: Transfer RNA (tRNA) molecules are approximately 80 nucleotides in length. Their secondary structure includes four short double-helical elements and three loops (D, anti-codon, and T loops). Further hydrogen bonds mediate the characteristic L-shaped molecular structure. tRNAs have two regions of fundamental functional importance: the anti-codon, which is responsible for specific mRNA codon recognition, and the 3' end, to which the tRNAs corresponding amino acid is attached (by aminoacyl-tRNA synthetases). tRNAs cope with the degeneracy of the genetic code in two manners: having more than one tRNA (with a specific anti-codon) for a particular amino acid; and 'wobble' base-pairing, i.e. permitting non-standard base-pairing at the 3rd anti-codon position. The record is from RNAcentral. Lineage: Eukaryota; Metazoa; Chordata; Lepidosauria; Squamata; Phrynosomatidae.